RNAcentral lists this ribosomal RNA (497 nucleotides) under uncultured bacterium. RNAcentral's name for it is "partial 16S ribosomal RNA". It matches the Rfam family "Bacterial small subunit ribosomal RNA", at positions 28 to 507 of the family's 1533-position model. The record is from RNAcentral.
GAUGAACGCUGGCGGCGUGCCUAAUACAUGCAAGUCGAGCGAACGGACGAGAAGCUUGCGUCUCUGAUGUUAGCGGCGCACGUGUGAGUAACACGUGGAUACCCUACCUAUAAGACUGGGAUCUCUUCGGGACACCGUAGCUAAUACCGUAUAAUCUUUUGAACCGCAUGGUUCAAAAGUGAGAGACGGCCUUUCUGUCACUUAUAGAUGCAUCCGCGCUGCAUUAGCUAGUUGGUAAGGUAACGGCUUACCAAGGCAACGAUGCAUAGCCGACCUGAGAGGGUGAUCGGCCACACUGGAACUUGACCACGGUCCAGACUCCUAAGGGAGGCAGCAGUAGGGAAUCUUACGCAAUGGGCGAAAGCCUGACGGAGCAAGGCCGCGUGAGUGAUGAAGGUCUUGGGAUCGUAAAACCCUGUUAUUAGGGAAGAACAUAUGUGUAAGUAACUAUGCACAUCUUGACGGUACCUAAUCAGAAAGCCACGGCUAACUACGUG